RNAcentral lists this ribosomal RNA (491 nucleotides) under uncultured bacterium. RNAcentral's name for it is "partial 16S ribosomal RNA". It matches the Rfam family "Bacterial small subunit ribosomal RNA", at positions 29 to 506 of the family's 1533-position model. The record is from RNAcentral.
AGUGAACGCUGGCGGUAGGCCUAACACAUGCAAGUCGAACGGCAGCACAGUAAGAGCUUGCUCUUACGGGUGGCGAGUGGCGGACGGGUGAGGAAUACAUCGGAAUCUACUUUUUCGUGGGGGAUAACGUAGGGAAACUUACGCUAAUACCGCAUACGACCUACGGGUGAAAGCAGGGGAUCUUCGGACCUUGCGCGAUUGAAUGAGCCGAUGUCGGAUUAGCUAGUUGGCGGGGUAAAGGCCCACCAAGGCGACGAUCCGUAGCUGGUCUGAGAGGAUGAUCAGCCACACUGGAACUGAGACACGGUCCAGACUCCUACGGGAGGCAGCAGUGGGGAAUAUUGGACAAUGGGCGCAAGCCAGAUCCAGCCAUACCGCGUGGGUGAAGAAGGCCUUCGGGUUGUAAAGCCCUUUUGUUGGGAAAGAAAAGCAGCAGGUUAAUACCCCGCUGUUCUGACGGUACCCAAAGAAUAAGCACCGGCUAACUUCGU